UACGGGAGGCAGCAGUGGGGAAUAUUGCACAAUGGGCGCAAGCCUGAUGCAGCCAUGCCGCGUGUAUGAAGAAGGCCUUCGGGUUGUAAAGUACUUUCAGUCGUGAGGAAGGUGUUAAGGUUAAUAACCUUAGCAAUUGACGUUAGCGACAGAAGAAGCACCGGCUAACUCCGUGCCAGCAGCCGCGGUAAUACGGAGGGUGCGAGCGUUAAUCGGAAUUACUGGGCGUAAAGGGCACGCAGGCGGUUAAUUAAGUUGGAUGUGAAAUCCCCGGGCUUAACCUGGGAAUGGCAUUCAAGCUGGUUAGCUAGAGUCUUGUAGAGGGGGUAGAAUUCCAUGUGUAGCGGUGAAAUGCGUAGAGAUGUGGAGGAAUACCGGUGGCGAAGGCGGCCCCUGGACAAAGACUGACGCUCAUGUGCGAAAGCGUGGGGAGCGAAAC
This 439-nucleotide ribosomal RNA is filed under the name uncultured bacterium. Its description in RNAcentral is "bacterial SSU rRNA". It matches the Rfam family "Bacterial small subunit ribosomal RNA", at positions 340 to 774 of the family's 1533-position model. The record is from RNAcentral.